This 492-nucleotide ribosomal RNA is filed under the name uncultured bacterium. RNAcentral's name for it is "partial 16S ribosomal RNA". It matches the Rfam family "Bacterial small subunit ribosomal RNA", at positions 29 to 507 of the family's 1533-position model. The record is from RNAcentral.
AGUGAACGCUGGCGGUAGGCCUAACACAUGCAAGUCGAACGGCAGCACAGUAAGAGCUUGCUCUUACGGGUGGCGAGUGGCGGACGGGUGAGGAAUACAUCGGAAUCUACUUUUUCGUGGGGGAUAACGUGGGGAAACUUACGCUAAUAUCGCAUACGACCUACGGGUGAAAGCAGGGGAUCUUCGGACCUUGCGCGAUUGAAUGAGCCGAUGUCGGAUUAGCUAGUUGGCGGGGUAAAGGCCCACCAAGGCGACGAUCCGUAGCUGGUCUGAGAGGAUGAUCAGCCACACUGGAACUGAGACACGGUCCAGACUCCUACGGGAGGCAGCAGUGGGGAAUAUUGGACAAUGGGCGCAAGCCUGAUCCAGCCAUACCGCGUGGGUGAAGAAGGCCUUCGGGUUGUAAAGCCCUUUUGUUGGGAAAGAAAAGCAGCAGGUUAAUACCCCGCUGUUCUGACGGUACCCAAAGAAUAAGCACCGGCUAACUUCGUG